This 368-nucleotide ribosomal RNA is filed under the name uncultured organism. Its description in RNAcentral is "bacterial SSU rRNA". It matches the Rfam family "Bacterial small subunit ribosomal RNA", at positions 526 to 896 of the family's 1533-position model. The record is from RNAcentral.
CGGAGGGUGCAAGCGUUAUCCGGAUUCACUGGGUUUAAAGGGAGCGUAGGUGGCUUUGUAAGUCAGUGGUGAAAUAUUGCGGCUCAACCGCAAAACUGCCAUUGAUACUGCUUAGCUUGAAUCACGUCGAGGUGGAUGGAAUAAUACAUGUAGCGGUGAAAUGCUUAGAUAUGUAUUAGAACACCGAUUGCGAAGGCAGUUCACUAGGCGUGUAUUGACACUGAGGCUCGAAAGCGUGGGGAUCAAACAGGAUUAGAUACCCUGGUAGUCCACGCCCUAAACGAUGUAAACUCGACAUUAGCGAUAUACUGUUAGUGUCCAAGCGAAAGCGUUAAGUUUACCACCCGGGAAGUACGACCGCAAGGUUG